CCUACGGGUGGCAGCAGUGGGGAAUAUUGCACAAUGGGCGAAAGCCUGAUGCAGCGACGCCGCGUGGGGGAUGACGGUCUUCGGAUUGUAAACCCCUUUCAGUAGGGACGAAGCGCAAGUGACGGUACCUGCAGAAGAAGCACCGGCCAACUACGUGCCAGCAGCCGCGGUAAUACGUAGGGUGCGAGCGUUGUCCGGAAUUACUGGGCGUAAAGAGCUCGUAGGCGGUUUGUCGCGUCGUCCGUGAAAACUCGGAGCUUAACUCCGAGCUUGCGGGCGAUACGGGCAGACUUGAGUACUACAGGGGAGACUGGAAUUCCUGGUGUAGCGGUGAAAUGCGCAGAUAUCAGGAGGAACACCGGUGGCGAAGGCGGGUCUCUGGGUAGUAACUGACGCUGAGGAGCGAAAGCAUGGGUAGCGAACAGGAUUAGAUACCCUUGUAGUC
RNAcentral lists this ribosomal RNA (445 nucleotides) under uncultured bacterium. RNAcentral describes it as "bacterial SSU rRNA". It matches the Rfam family "Bacterial small subunit ribosomal RNA", at positions 338 to 795 of the family's 1533-position model. The record is from RNAcentral.